UAGACCCUACGGGGGGCAGCAGUGAGGAAUAUUGGUCAAUGGCCGGAAGGCUGAACCAGCCAAGUCGCGUGAGGGAAUGAGGCCCUAUGGGUCGUAAACCUCUUUUGUCAGGGAGCAAAGGCGUCCACGUGUGGACGAGAGGAGAGUACCUGAAGAAAAAGCAUCGGCUAACUCCGUGCCAGCAGCCGCGGUAAUACGUAGGGGGCAAGCGUUAUCCGGAUUUACUGGGUGUAAAGGGAGCGUAGACGGUUACGCAAGUCUGGAGUGAAAGGCGGGGGCCCAACCCCCGGACUGCUUUGGAAACU
RNAcentral lists this ribosomal RNA (305 nucleotides) under uncultured bacterium. Its description in RNAcentral is "bacterial SSU rRNA". It matches the Rfam family "Bacterial small subunit ribosomal RNA", at positions 332 to 634 of the family's 1533-position model. The record is from RNAcentral.